RNAcentral lists this ribosomal RNA (478 nucleotides) under uncultured bacterium. Its description in RNAcentral is "partial 16S ribosomal RNA". It matches the Rfam family "Bacterial small subunit ribosomal RNA", at positions 28 to 523 of the family's 1533-position model. The record is from RNAcentral.
GACGAACGCUGGCGGCGUGCUUAACACAUGCAAGGCGAGCGAUGAAAUCCCUUCGGGGAUGGAUUAGCGGCGGACGGGUGAGUAACACGUGGGCAACCUGCCUUAUAGAGAGGAAUAGCCAUCCGACAGGAUGAUUAAUCACUCAUAAUAUUGUAGCUUCGCAUGAAGCAACAUUCAAAGGAGCAAUCCACUAGAAGAUGGGCCCGCAGUGCAUUAGCUAGUUGGUGAGGUAACGGCUCACCAAGGCGAAGAUGCGUAGCCGAACUGAGAGGGUGAUCGGCCACAUUGGGACUGAGACACGGCCCAGACUCCUACGGGAGGCAGCGGUGGGGAAUAUUGCACAAUGGGGGAAACCCUGAUGCAGUAACGCCGCGUGAGUGAUGACGGCCUUCGGGUUGUAAAGCUCUGUCUUCAGGGACGAUAAUGACGGUACCUGAGGAGGAAGCCACGGCUAACUACGUGCCAGCAGCCGCCGUAA